GGUAGCUAGUUUUGUGUCAAGCGCAGGAUUUCUGCGCUAGCAGGAAAUGAGUCACAAUGACCCAAAUAACACUGACCCACACAAGACAUGAAUAACAUUAUCAUAAAUUAUUUUAAAAUGGAUGUAAAGGAAAUGGUGUUUAGAAAGCUGAACUAUGUCUUAAAGGAGGAGCGGUUGGCAGCUAUCAAGGCUUUCCUCGAAGGAAGAGAUGUUUUCAUAGUGCUACCCACUGGCUAUGGAAAGUCUUUGUGUUAUAUGUCUCUUCCAAGUCUUAUUGACCAUUCAGUAAUUUACCACAUCUCUGCACCUUUCUGCUGCUGGAUCACAUCUGUUUUUGCUCUCUUUGCUUAAGUCUUUACCACAGCCUAAACAUACAACGACGGUCAUGUUUACACACGUAUGGGCGGUGCUCAUUUUCAGCCCCACCUAUAUGCAUGCUGUCAGCUCCACCCGUGACACAAAACUAGCUACCGUACUGAACCUGACUCUCUGUUUUUCCGCGAGAGGCAGGAUCCACCUGACUAGGACAGGACCAUGUGAGAUCAGUAAAAAAGGAUUUUAAUUUUUUUCUUUUUUUAACAGAUUCCACAAUUAGUAACGAAACAAUACAAUAUUGAUUACACAAUCUCGCUAAAGCCACAUCCAUUACCGACAUUUUAUAAAGUAGAGGACAUUGUAUUAUUAAUGCAGUUCAUUUAUGUUGACCUCCUUAACCUGUUUGACUGGUUUAACAGUUAGUGGAGUACAUGUACAUGUAUACAUGUAGUCUUCCUUUUUGUAGAAUUGCUGUCAAAUGAUGUCAAGUUAUUUUUUAUGCCAAGAUUUGAGCGUAAAGAUAGAAAGGAUAAUUUGAUACCAGCGUCAAUGUGCAACAUUAUGGAAUCAUUAAUAUCAUUUUAUAAACCAUUAUCACUUCCUAGACUUGCUUCUGUUACUAAAGAGCUGGCAGUUUUCAAGACAAUACAGCAACUGUAUCAUACAUGAUAGUAACAAGAAUAGACAGUAUUAAUUGGCACUCUCGUGAUUCAGAGGCCAUUCUUGUUCACUUGUGUCAUUUUGUUCCUGACAGUCACACCACAUCCUCUCCUGAUACAGUAAACAGUACAGGAAGACAUCAUUGACCACACAAGCACAAACAGCAGGAAGGAACAAGAUAUACAUGUAGCAGGAAACAUACGAGGGAGACUGUUGUUGAGCUUCGAAGCAGUUCUAGUUAUCAUUUCACAGGAAUAUUCACUGACUGCACACAACUGGCUCUACUCUGCCCCCAGUUGUCUUCUCAUUUAUUGUUUCAUUUAUUUUUGGUAGAUUUGGAGGCUGGUAUUAAUUAUAAGUUUAAAGACAGGAGUCUUCUAGAAGUUAGAAGAAAGAUAGAGAGAGAGAGAGAGAGAUGAUUAUGAUUUUCUAUUAUUCAGUUAGCCCUGACCCACACUUCCUUCAUUACUCAAUACAAUGGUUCUCGGCCCCUACCUAAUGAAAUACUCAUAUCAUUAUCAAACUGUGGUACAAGGGCUCAUGUUUCCACAGCAACAGGUAAGGCCCCACCCUCAAAGAGACCAAAGAGCAGAAUAGAAGGAUUGACAGAAGCUGCUGAAACCAGUCGUGAGAAAUACAAGGAGGAUGAAGGAGAUGUUGUAUUACCAAGAGAUAAGAGAGACUUGAGUUUCUUGGAGAUGCUGUAAUUGAGUUUUUGUGUAGUAUUCAGUUAUAUCUCAUGUUUCCCUCUUUCACUGAUUCUCAUCUUGUUAUCUUCAGAAAGGCUCUAAUAUGUAACCAGAACCUAGCCAGUGUUGCCAAAAGAAUACAUCUUGAGAAAUAUUUAUUAAUGGAUGUCAAUUUCAAAAAUGCUGAUAUAAAUCACAUAUAUGCUAAUACUUUGAAGCACUCGUUGGUGCUGUAUAUAAAGACUCUGAUAUUAACACAUCCACACUUCUCUUCCCUGAAGAAGAUCUAAGAGAGAUAUGGCUCUCUGAGUAUAAGGAUCAACUACAGGUGGACUGAUGGAGAUAGGCACGUGGUUAAUGAGUAUCCCAUUUUAAAUUCUUUCAAUAAACUUGAGGAAUCCAUUUGAGUUAGAUUCACCAAUAUUAGAUUGCUAGCCAGAGCUAUUACCCAUCCAUCAUAUGGAUGUACCGAUGACAACUCCCACAUGUGGAAACAGUAUAUUUUUCUAUAAAUGCACCUAAAGAAUAAAUAUAAUAUAUGCAACAACAAAAAUGUACCCAACAGAUAAGUGUAUUAAUUUCUGACUAGUUAAAGAUACCAUACACCAUAGUGACUAUACACACAAA
Molecule: long non-coding RNA, 2291 nt
Organism: Amphimedon queenslandica
Lineage: Eukaryota; Metazoa; Porifera; Demospongiae; Haplosclerida; Niphatidae
Exons: 14
Source: RefSeq, a predicted model, not a curated record